RNAcentral lists this ribosomal RNA (254 nucleotides) under uncultured bacterium. RNAcentral's name for it is "partial 16S ribosomal RNA". It matches the Rfam family "Bacterial small subunit ribosomal RNA", at positions 524 to 776 of the family's 1533-position model. The record is from RNAcentral.
UACGUAGGUGGCGAGCGUUAUCCGGAUUUAUUGGGUUUAAAGGGUGCGUAGGCGGUUUAUUAAGUCGAUGGUGAAAGGUAGCAGCUUAACUGUUUUACAUGCUGUCGAUACUGAUAAACUUGAGUUGUUAGAAGGUAGCUAGAAUUUCUGGUGUAGCGGUGAAAUGCAUAGAUACCAGAAGGAAUACCGAUUGCGAAGGCAGGUUACUGCAUACAAACUGACGCUGAGGCACGAAAGUAUGGGGAUCAAACAGG